This 397-nucleotide ribosomal RNA is filed under the name uncultured bacterium. RNAcentral describes it as "partial 16S ribosomal RNA". It matches the Rfam family "Bacterial small subunit ribosomal RNA", at positions 360 to 773 of the family's 1533-position model. The record is from RNAcentral.
AAUAUUGGGCAAUGGGGGAAACCCUGACCCAGCAACGCCGCGUGAGCGAGGAAGGCCUUCGGGUCGUAAAGCUCCGCUCUUGGGGACGAAGAAUGACGGUCACCAAGAAGAAAGCCACGGCCAACUACGUGUCAGCAGCCGCGGUAAUACGUAGGUGGCCGGCGUUGUUCGGAAUUACUGGGCGUAAAGGGCGAGUAGGCGGUAACACAAGUCAGAUGUGAAAGGCGAGGGCUCAACUCGCGGAUUGCAUUUGAAACUGUGUAACUUGAGUGCGGUAGAGGAAAGUAGAAUUCCCAGUGUAGCGGUGAAAAGCGUAGAUAUUGGGAGGAACACCAGUGGCGAAGGCGACUUUCUGGGCCGUAACUGACGCUGAGGCGCGAAAACGGGGGGAGCGAAC